UGGGGAAUAUUGCACAAUGGGCGCAAGCCUGAUGCAGCGACGCCGCGUGGAGGAAGAAGGUCUUCGGAUUGUAAACUCCUGUUACGUGGGAAGAAAUGACGUUUUCGAAUAGGGAACGUAGCUGACUGUACCACUAGAGAAAGCACCGGCAAACUUCGUGCCAGCAGCCGCGGUAAUACGAAGGGUGCGAGCGUUAUUCGGAGUUACUGGGCGUAAAGAGCGCGUAGACGGUUUGUUAAGUUGUUUGUCAAAUUCCCUGGCUUAACUGGGGACCGGCAGAUGAAACUGGCAGACUAGAGUGUAAGAGAGAGAAGUAGAAUUCUCGGAGUAGCGGUAAAAUGCGUAGAUCUCGAGAGGAAUACCGGAGGCGAAGGCGGCUUCUUGGCUUACAACUGACGUUCAAGUGCGAAAGCGUGGGGAGCAAACAGG
RNAcentral lists this ribosomal RNA (429 nucleotides) under uncultured bacterium. RNAcentral's name for it is "partial 16S ribosomal RNA". It matches the Rfam family "Bacterial small subunit ribosomal RNA", at positions 355 to 776 of the family's 1533-position model. The record is from RNAcentral.